This is a long non-coding RNA of Cornus florida, 1389 nucleotides long. RefSeq lists it as uncharacterized. The record is from RefSeq and is a predicted model, not a curated record. The transcript has 2 exons. Lineage: Eukaryota; Viridiplantae; Streptophyta; Magnoliopsida; Cornales; Cornaceae.
CUUCCUUUUUUUCUUUCUUCCUCCUUCACUUUCUCUUUCAACACCUCCGGUUUCUCUCUCAAUCUCAAGUUCUCAAUCUCCCUCACCGAAAACACACUUCUCCCUCACCCAAAUCAAUCCCCAGCACCAUACCCCUAUCACCUCACACCCAACCACCCUCAUCUCUCAAUUCUCACCACCGAGAAGCCCCCCGCCAUCGCCGUCUCUUUGUUCCGGUGAAACUCCAAGCUUCGCCGCUGCCAUCAUCACCAGCAGCGAGCUCUAAGCCAAAGGCCGAGCUCUCUUCUUCUCCUCUCGGUUCAUCCCUCUCUUCUUGGAGUUCUCUAUUUCCCUCAUCUCCAGCUAAUUUAGGCCAAGGAGAUUCGGAUCCACCACCGGCGACAUUCCGGCGAGUUUCCAGUCACCUUUUCCGGCCAUGGUUUCACCGAAAAUUCUUGGAAAUCUCCCAAGCUCUUUGCCAUUUCUCUCUCUCUCACUUGGGUACUUAUCCUUAAAAUAAGCUAACUCCGCCAAAUAAGAGUAUAAUUGAAGUAAUUCUGGGAUGAAUCAAAGAAAGGAGCAAAGUAGAGCAAAAGGAAGCAAAUGGUGGAAUUUCAGCAACUUCGAUCGAUCUCAAGAAAAGUUCGAUCGAUCCAACAUUCAUCGAUCUCAGCACUUCAAGAUAGAUCUGAGCCAUGUUUGUCCCUGUUCAAAGAUCUCAAAAGUUCGAUCGAUCCAACUUCCUUCUUCGAUCGAUCAAACAUUCUUGUCCUUAUCCAAAUGAUUGAUUUUAUCCAAUUGUACCACCCUACCAACUGCUUUUGUCCUUUUCCCAAAAAUAUCUUCAAAAUAUCUUAGAUUUAUUUUUAUCCAAAAAGGCGCCGCCAUUGAAGAUCGAUCCAGCUUCAGUUCGAUAGAUCUCAACCAUGUUCGAUCGAUCCAAGUCCAAGGUUCGAUCGAUCGAACUUCCUCUAGUGCGAAAAAGUUAAAUUUCUAGCUCACAAAAAGUUUUCCUUUAUCCAAUCAUUGGGGAAUAUUUGUUGUAUGACCCCAUCUCAUUUUGGGUGUCAUUUGACCUACCUAUAUAAGGAUAAGGAUUACUUUUUGUAUAAGAAUAUAUUGCAUCACAUCAUAUCAUACGAUACCUUAGAGAACUCUUAGUGAGGAAGAAAAGAAGAGAAGGAGGCUAGAGACACCAUUGGAGACUCUUCAUCAACCAAGGAGCAGAUUUCUUCCAUGGAGCUUGCCCUUGAGGGUUGGAGGACAUCAUCCAUGAGUGGCUAAACAUCCUCUUGGGGCUAGAGUUAGCCCUAAACAUGCUUUCUACUUCUUGAUUUAUAUAUUUUUGAGGGUAUUUGUAUUGUAAUUCAUGUCUUGACACUUAUAUAUAUAUAGAUCUUGUUUAUUCAA